Long non-coding RNA from Esox lucius (northern pike), 2392 nucleotides. Lineage: Eukaryota; Metazoa; Chordata; Actinopteri; Esociformes; Esocidae. The record is from Ensembl.
GUGUUGAGAUCAGUCCAAUAUGCUGUUUAGGAGCUGACCUGCUAAACAUCUGCUAUAAUCAGGGUUGGCUGGAGCCGGAGAGAGAUUGGAGAUCACCAGGCGGUUGGAGGCGCAGAGAUUUCUGUGGCAGCUUGGUUAGAGGUGGCGAGAGAGGCAACAGAAAAAAGAAAACGACAUCAACUGAAACACGUAGACCCAGGCAUGCGUCCCCGCUCCAGACCUCAGGCUAAAAGGGGCCUGCCCACCAUCAGGGAGGGCUACGAAGAACUUGUCCAGGACAUGAACCAGGCCAACAGCCGCCACCUCCCACACCACGGCCAGGCCCAAUCGUUGUCUACCCACGACUACGUCCUGUCAAUAUGCCAGCUCGCCCGCCCGACCUUCCCCCAGUCCGAGCCCGACUGUGACAUCCUCGCCAUGGGUUCCCUGGCAUCUCUGAGGCCUUGUCUGAGGCUCCACAGACUGAGGAACCCUGCACCGCCCCAUCAGCCAUUGAAUUCCCAGGUUGGCCACCGCCCACAGCUGAAGCAGGAGAAUAGCCGCGGUGAGUGCAGUGGCCUGGAGAGAGAGGUGUGUGUCGGUUCAGGUCGGUCCUCCCCCAGAGGGGUGCCCAGUGUCUCUGAUCCCCUGGAGUACCUUUACGGUCACGGGGAGGCACUCUUCUCGACCACCCUUCACUCCCACAGCUCACAGGGCUGGAGAAAUGAGGGGAGAGGAAGCAACCGGCAUCGGCAACAACCCCAGAUACACACCGACAGCUUCCCAGGCAUGUGUUCCUUACCCCCGACCCAACGGAAAAUCAGUUGCCCUGAGCUCAGCCUCGUGGACCCCGCUGACCUAGAGAAGCCCACCUCUGACCCCGCUCAGCCGCAGACAGUCUCCUCAGAGCAGCAGAAACCUGACGCCUCCAGCUCACUCUCCUGGAGAUUCCAGAACAACUUGUACAGGGUUUCGGCAGGUGAAAGGGGGAAGUGCCCUUGCUACUUAGACAAACACACAGUGGUAUCAAGCUGGAUCGCCGAAUGUCGCACAGCCUGGAGAGAAGCCAGAAUCAGGGCCUGCAUGCUUCCUGCCAUUGCAGAGAUGUAAACACAUAGAUCUUCUGUAACAUUUCCAUGCCCCACUCGGAAUCAUUGUGCAUUGUGGAUCCUUGAUGUACGUACUACAUACUGUUUAAUUAACUGGCACAUUUGGCCAAUUGCAGGCCCAUAUGGUAACAUGUACAACUCCAGUUUUCAUUUGUGAACUUUUUGAAGAGUAUAUAGAUUAAGACCAUAGAGAUGAUCAGAGGACUUAGAGGAGCGACAGGUGGCCUAGACUUUAAAGUAUCUUACCAGUAACCAAAUUGUUGCUAGAUCCCUGAGCCUGAAAAAUGAAAUAUUGUAAUUCUGUCCCUGACAGAAGACAAGACAAUUGACACUAAUUGCUUCCUGAUUUUUUUUGCACUAAUUUUCAUUGAAGACAUCCACAAAUUUCAACUUUAUUGGCUGAUUCAUCCCGAUGACCCGAUUGGUCAUUGGCUGAUCCUUCCUAAUGACUAUAUUAACAUGACGAUGGCCUCAAUGGCUCUGCCCAUGCUGGAACAGAUGCUUUGGUGACACACAUGGGUCCUCUGUUUAUCUCGACCCUUAAGACAUAUUGUAGACUAGCGUAUGCUUCAUUCAUAUCACAGUAGGUGGAAUAUUGACAGUGCCUAUGAAAGAUAGUAUUUAGGUAGCCUCCGUGUCAUUAAACAUACGGUCAUUAGGCAAGACUGUUUUGUGAGAAUGGUCACAUAUGACCAGUAUUAAUAUAAAGUUUACAGGAAGAGGAAAGACUAAGAAAAAUAUCAGAUUAUAUUUCCUAGGGAAUUAGCGAUUACUUAAAUCUUUCUAUUUCACUCCAUUAUUGACUAAUAAUAAUUAUUAAAUACUUUUUUUGUGACAUAUGGGCAGCUAAAACAACAAAUAAAAUUCUACAGAGUUGAGAAAAAUGUGUCCUAUUGUUAGCUAGUUAGGGCUCAGCCCUCCAACUCAGAUUACUCUCAGUGGUUUUGAAAAUCUAUUUUGUGAUUUCCUCUCUUGUGUAUAAACUUGAUUAUGCAAUGAAAAUAUCUAUUUUAAUCUUCUUCACUUAUUAAAGCCAUGAUAAAAUAGAUACAGGUAAUGUAUAUUAAAUCAUGUCAAUGAAUUCCCACUGAGUGAGAUGUUAUGUAAAAAUGUUGUAUGUGACAUUUCAAUUGCAAGAUCAGAUGGUCCUCCAUGACAGUACAAUGAAGUAUGUGUCAAAAUAUAUCAACAUUGAGACAAUUGUAUCAUUGACUUGUAAAUGUUUGAGAACACAUUAAUUUGUAUAGCUUUUGUACCUCUGUCCAUUGCUUGCUCGUAACUGAAUAAAGUUUGUGUUUGACCCA